RNAcentral lists this ribosomal RNA (267 nucleotides) under Triticum aestivum (bread wheat). RNAcentral describes it as "partial small subunit ribosomal RNA". Lineage: Eukaryota; Viridiplantae; Streptophyta; Magnoliopsida; Poales; Poaceae. The record is from RNAcentral.
AUGGCUUCUUCCGGUUCCAUGACGAGGCCCCCGUGUGCUAAUCGCGAGGACAUGUUGGACAAGUGGACAGAAGCCAAGUUGGAUAAGGUGAAGGACAAAGAUAUGAGAACUCCAUCAUGUUGGUGUGGAGAUGUUUACAAAGUUAAGGUAUCCACCAACCGCAAGAAAUCAUGGACAGAAGGAAGAAGAUAUUUUGUUUGUCCCAACUAUGCCUGUGAUCGUCCUCGUCCAACUCACGCCUAUGAUGUACCGCCGGUAAGUUGUUGA